GGCAUAUCAGAACGGAAUGGAAAGUCCGGCCAUAGCGGGUGAUAGCCCCGUAUGAGAAAUGUUGAUUGUGGAACUAGGCACGAAAAGAGUAGGGCGGGACACGUGAAAUCCUGUCUGAACAUGGGGGGACCAUCCUCCAAGGCUAAAUACUCGUAAUCGACCGAUAGCGAACAAGUACCGUGAGGGAAAGGCGAAAAGAACCCCGGGAGGGGAGUGAAAUAGAUCCUGAAACCGCAUGCAUACAAAAAGUAGGAGCCCUCCGGGGUGACUGCGUACCUUUUGUAUAAUGGGUCAGCGACUUACAUUCAGUGGCGAGGUUAACCGAAUAGGGUAGCCGUAGAGAAAUCGAGUCCGAAUAGGGCGAAUUAGUCGCUGGGUGUAGACCCGAAACCAAGUGAUCUAUCCAUGGCCAGGAUGAAGGUACCGUAACAGGUGCUGGAGGUCCGAACCGACUAGUGUUGCAAAACUAGCGGAUGAGCUGUGGAUAGGGGUGAAAGGCUAAACAAACUUGGAGAUAGCUGGUUCUCUCCGAAAACUAUUUAGGUAGUGCCUCAAGUAUUACCUUCGGGGGUAGAGCACUGUUUAGGCUAGGGGGUCAUGGCGACUUACCAAACCUAUGCAAACUCCGAAUACCGAAGAGUACAGCUUGGGAGACAGAGCACCGGGUGCUAACGUCCGGACUCAAGAGGGAAACAACCCAGACCGCCAGCUAAGGUCCCUAAAAUUGGCUAAGUGGGAAACGAAGUGGGAAGGCUAAAACAGUCAGGAUGUUGGCUUAGAAGCAGCCAUCAUUUAAAGAAAGCGUAAUAGCUCACUGAUCGAGUCGUCCUGCGCGGAAGAUGUAACGGGGCUAAGCCAGUUACCGAAGCUGCGGAUGCACAGUUUACUGUGCGUGGUAGGAGAGCGUUCUGUACGCCUGUGAAGGUGGGUCGUGAGGCCUGCUGGAGGUAUCAGAAGUGCGAAUGCUGACAUGAGUAGCGUUAAAGGGGGUGAAAAGCCCCCUCGCCGAAAGCGCAAGGUUUCCUACGCAACGUUCAUCGGCGUAGGGUGAGUCGGCCCCUAAGGCGAGGCAGAGAUGCGUAGCUGAUGGGAAACAGGUCAAUAUUCCUGUACCGAUCUAUAGUGCGAUGUGGGGACGGAGAAGGUUAGCUCAGCCGGGUGUUGGAUGUCCCGGUUCAAGCAUGUAGGCGUGCCCUCUAGGCAAAUCCGGAGGGCUUAGCUGAGGUGUGAUAACGAGUCUGCUUGCAGACGAAGUGAGUGAUACCCUGCUUCCAGGAAAAGCCACUAAGCUUCAGCUAUAGACGACCGUACCGCAAACCGACACUGGUGCGCGAGAUGAGUAUUCUAAGGCGCUUGAGAGAACUCUGGAGAAGGAACUCGGCAAAUUGACACCGUAACUUCGGAAGAAGGUGUGCCUUUAGUAGGUGAAGGGGAUUUACUCUCCCAGCCCAAUGAGGCCGCAGAGAAUCGGUGGCUGCAACUGUUUAUUAAAAACACAGCACUCUGCAAAGACGAAAGUCGACGUAUAGGGUGUGACUCCUGCCCGGUGCUGGAAGAUUAAAUGAUGGGGUGCAAGCUCUUGACUGAAGUCCCAGUAAACGGCGGCCGUAACUAUAACGGUCCUAAGGUAGCGAAAUUCCUUGUCGGGUAAGUUCCGACCUGCACGAAUGGAGUAAUGAUGGCCACACUGUCUCCUCCAGAGACUCAGCGAAGUUGAAAUGUUUGUGAUGAUGCAAUCUCCCCGCGGAAAGACGGAAAGACCCCAUGAACCUUUACUGUAGCUUUACAUUGGACUUUGAACAGAUCUGUGUAGGAUAGGUGGGAGGCUUUGAAACCUGGUCGCUAGAUCAGGUGGAGCCAACGUUGAAAUACCACCCUGGUGUGUUUGAGGUUCUAACCUUGGCCCGUUAUCCGGGUUGGGGACAGUGUAUGGUGGGCAGUUUGACUGGGGCGGUCUCCUCCCAAAGUGUAACGGAGGAGUUCGAAGGUACGCUAAAUACGGUCGGAAAUCGUGUUGAUAGUGCAUUGGCAUAAGCGUGCUUGACUGCGAGACUGACAAGUCGAGCAGGUACGAAAGUAGGACAAAGUGAUCCGGUGGUUCUGUAUGGAAGGGCCAUCGCUCAACGGAUAAAAGGUACUCUGGGGAUAACAGGCUGAUACCGCCCAAGAGUUCAUAUCGACGGCGGUGUUUGGCACCUCGAUGUCGGCUCAUCUCAUCCUGGGGCUGUAGCCGGUCCCAAGGGUAUGGCUGUUCGCCAUUUAAAGAGGUACGUGAGCUGGGUUUAAAACGUCGUGAGACAGUUUGGUCCCUAUCUUCCGUGGGCGCUGCAAGAUUGAGAGAGCCUGCUCCUAGUACGAGAGGACCGGAGUGGACGCACCUCUGGUGUAUCGGUUGUCACGCCAGUGGCAUCGCCGAGUAGCUAAGUGCGGAAGAGAUAACCGCUGAAAGCAUCUAAGCGGGAAACUCGUCUCAAGAUGAGUCUUGCCGGGGCCUUGAGCCCCCUGAAGGGUCGUUCGAGACCAGGACGUUGAUAGGCUGGGUGUGGAAGCGCAGUAAUGCGUUAAGCUAACCAGUACUAAUUGCCCGUGAGGCUUGACCCUA
This 2602-nucleotide ribosomal RNA is filed under the name Roseateles sp. YR242. RNAcentral's name for it is "bacterial LSU rRNA". It matches the Rfam family "Bacterial large subunit ribosomal RNA", at positions 326 to 2925 of the family's 2925-position model. The record is from RNAcentral. Lineage: Bacteria; Pseudomonadati; Pseudomonadota; Betaproteobacteria; Burkholderiales; Sphaerotilaceae.